This 253-nucleotide ribosomal RNA is filed under the name uncultured bacterium. Its description in RNAcentral is "partial 16S ribosomal RNA". It matches the Rfam family "Bacterial small subunit ribosomal RNA", at positions 524 to 776 of the family's 1533-position model. The record is from RNAcentral.
UACGUAGGGUGCCGGCGUUACUCGGAAUUACUGGGCGUAAAGCGUGCGCAGGCGGUUUGCUAAGACAGGUGUGAAAUCCCCGGGCUUAACCUGGGAACUGCGCUUGUAACUGGCAAGCUAGAGUGUGGCAGAGGGGGGUGGAAUUCCACGUGUAGCAGUGAAAUGCGUAGAGAUGUGGAGGAACACCGAUGGCGAAGGCAGCCCCCUGGGCUAACACUGACGCUCAUGCACGAAAGCGUGGGGAGCAAACAGG